UACGGGGGGGGCAAGCGUUGUUCGGAAUUACUGGGCGUAAAGGGCGCGUAGGCGGCCAGCACAAGUCAGUUGUGAAAUCUCCGAGCUUAACUCGGAAAGGUCAACUGAUACUGUGCGGCUAGAGUGCAGAAGGGGCAACUGGAAUUCUUGGUGUAGCGGUGAAAUGCGUAGAUAUCAAGAGGAACACCGGUGGCGAAGGCGGGUCUCUGGGCCGAAAUUGACGCUGAGGAGCGAAAGCGUGGGGAGCAAACAGG
Molecule: ribosomal RNA, 254 nt
Filed under: uncultured bacterium
Lineage: Bacteria
Description: partial 16S ribosomal RNA
Rfam family: Bacterial small subunit ribosomal RNA
Source: RNAcentral